UAAUAAGUGUUUUAUGGCACUUUUUAAAUCCAUAUCCACCUUGUGUGCAAUGUCAGUCGAUCUUCUUCAUGGAGAUCGACCAAAACAUCAACCUUUAUCUUUUAACUCUUUGUCUGAAAAAUAUUAUGAAUAAACAAUUCAAAAUA
Molecule: unclassified non-coding RNA, 146 nt
Filed under: soil metagenome
Description: partial internal transcribed spacer 1
Source: RNAcentral